RNAcentral lists this ribosomal RNA (497 nucleotides) under uncultured bacterium. RNAcentral's name for it is "partial 16S ribosomal RNA". It matches the Rfam family "Bacterial small subunit ribosomal RNA", at positions 28 to 507 of the family's 1533-position model. The record is from RNAcentral.
GAUGAACGCUGGCGGCGUGCCUAAUACAUGCAGGUCGAGCGAACGGACGAGAAGCUUGCUUCUCUGAUGUUAGCGGCGGACGGGUGAGUAACACGUGGAUAACCUACCUAUAAGACUGGGAUAACUUCGGGAAACCGGAGCUAAUACCGGAUAAUAUUUUGAACCGCAUGGUUCAAAAGUGAAAGACGGUCUUGCUGUCACUUAUAGAUGGAUCCGCGCUGCAUUAGCUAGUUGGUAAGGUAACGGCUUACCAAGGCAACGAUGCAUAGCCGACCUGAGAGGGUGAUCGGCCACACUGGAACUGAGACACGGUCCAGACUCCUACGGGAGGCAGCAGUAGGGAAUCUUCCGCAAUGGGCGAAAGCCUGACGGAGCUACGCCGCGUGAGUGAUGAAGGUCUUCGGAUCGUAAAACUCUGUUAUUAGGGAAGAACAUAUGUGUAAGUAACUGUGCACAUCUUGACGGUACCUAAUCAGAAAGCCACGGCUAACUACGUG